RNAcentral lists this ribosomal RNA (385 nucleotides) under uncultured bacterium. RNAcentral's name for it is "bacterial SSU rRNA". It matches the Rfam family "Bacterial small subunit ribosomal RNA", at positions 30 to 416 of the family's 1533-position model. The record is from RNAcentral.
AUUGAACGCUGGCGGCAUGCCUUACACAUGCAAGUCGAACGGCAGCGGGCCUUCGGGUGCCGGCGAGUGGCGAACGGGUGAGUAAUGCAUCGGAACGUGCCAUUGAGUGGGGGAUAACGUAGCGAAAGUUGCGCUAAUACCGCAUAUUCUGUGAGCAGGAAAGCAGGGGGACCGCAAGGCCUUGCGCUCUUUGAGCGGCCGAUGUCAGAUUAGCUAGUUGGUGAGGUAAAGGCUUACCAAGGCGACGAUCUGUAGCGGGUCUGAGAGGAUGAUCCGCCACACUGGAACUGAGACACGGUCCAGACUCCUACGGGAGGCAGCAGUGGGGAAUUUUGGACAAUGGGGGCAACCCUGAUCCAGCCAUGCCGCGUGAGUGAAGAAGGCC